CUUGAACAGGAUCUGUUCUAUAGGAUCGUACCGUUGCAUCCUUGAUUAAUAAGGAGGCAAGCACUUAAGCCUGGUUGAUGUGUCAUGACCUUUGGGCCAGAGCGUGAUUAACGGCUAGGAUUGGCUCUGAUGUCAUGACCUUUGGGCCAGAGCGUGAUUAACGGCUAGGAUUGGCUCUGAUGCUUUGUCCUUAAGCUGUAGAGGAUCGUUCCCGUCAGGCUUGCUUGACUCGGGGUGGCCCAUAGGUUGUCUGACAGGCUCCUUUUUUGUUCUGCUUCCUGCCCGCCCGCCAGAACUGUCAUGACCUUUGGGCCAGAGCGUGAUUAACGGCUAGGAUUGGCUCUGAUGCUUUGUCCUUAAGCUGUAGAGGAUCGUUCCCGUCAGGCUUGCUUGACUCGGGGUGGCCCAUAGGUUGUCUGACAGGCUCC
RNAcentral lists this long non-coding RNA (428 nucleotides) under Zea mays. Its description in RNAcentral is "long non-coding RNA (ZMAY_LNC000689)". The stretch from base 1 to 260 matches the Rfam family "Plant small nucleolar RNA U3". Rfam says of the family: Small nucleolar RNAs (snoRNAs) are involved in the processing and modification of rRNA in the nucleolus. Lineage: Eukaryota; Viridiplantae; Streptophyta; Magnoliopsida; Poales; Poaceae. The record is from RNAcentral.